GAUGAACGCUGGCGGCGUGCCUAAUACAUGCCAGUCGAGCGAACGGACGAGAAGCUUGCUUUUCUGAUGUUAGCGGCGGACGGGUGAGUAACACGUGGAUAACCUACCUAUAAGACUGGGAUAACUUCGGGAAACCGGAGCUAAUACCGGAUAAUAUUUUGAACCGCAUGGUUCAAAAGUGAAAGACGGUCUUGCUGUCACUUAUAGAUGGAUCCGCGCUGCAUUAGCUAGUUGGUAAGGUAACGGCUUACCAAGGCAACGAUGCGUAGCCGACCUGAGAGGGUGAUCGGCCACACUGGAACUGAGACACGGUCCAGACUCCUACGGGAGGCAGCAGUAGGGAAUCUUCCGCAAUGGGCGAAAGCCUGACGGAGCAACGCCGCGUGAGUGAUGAAGGUCUUCGGAUCGUAAAACUCUGUUAUUAGGGAAGAACAUAUGUGUAAGUAACUGUGCACAUCUUGACGGUACCUAAUCAGAAAGCCACGGCUAACUACGUG
RNAcentral lists this ribosomal RNA (497 nucleotides) under uncultured bacterium. Its description in RNAcentral is "partial 16S ribosomal RNA". It matches the Rfam family "Bacterial small subunit ribosomal RNA", at positions 28 to 507 of the family's 1533-position model. The record is from RNAcentral.